AAGACUAUACUUUCAGGGAUCAUUUCUAUAGUUUGUUACUAGAGAAAAGAUAUUUAAGAUUAAAAAAGGAGAAAAACCUGAGUUUGUAGAACCAUGGU
The sequence is a small nucleolar RNA, 98 nucleotides long. Its record names the gene U3. It matches the Rfam family "Small nucleolar RNA U3". From Rfam's summary of the family: Small nucleolar RNAs (snoRNAs) are involved in the processing and modification of rRNA in the nucleolus. There are two main classes of snoRNAs: the box C/D class, and the box H/ACA class. U3 snoRNA is a member of the box C/D class. The record is from Ensembl.